UACGAAGGGGGGCUAGCGUUGCUCGGAAUCACUGGGCGUAAAGGGUGCGUAGGCGGGUUAUUAAGUCAGAGGUGAAAUCCUGGAGCUCAACUCCAGAACUGCCUUUGAUACUGAUAGUCUUGAAUAUGGGAGAGGUGAGUGGAACUGCGAGUGUAGAGGUGAAAUUCGUAGAUAUUCGCAAGAACACCAGUGGCGAAGGCGGCUCACUGGCCCAUUACUGACGCUGAGGAGCGAAAGCGUGGGGAGCGAACAGG
This 254-nucleotide ribosomal RNA is filed under the name uncultured bacterium. Its description in RNAcentral is "partial 16S ribosomal RNA". It matches the Rfam family "Bacterial small subunit ribosomal RNA", at positions 524 to 776 of the family's 1533-position model. The record is from RNAcentral.